Molecule: long non-coding RNA, 3225 nt
Filed under: Gallus gallus (chicken)
Lineage: Eukaryota; Metazoa; Chordata; Aves; Galliformes; Phasianidae
Description: lncRNA (ENSGALG00010006112.1)
Source: RNAcentral
CCGCGCCGUCCCUUCUGCCGCGUGCGUUGUCGCGGCCGAUGCCGGUGGCUGAAGGCGCCGCCGGCGGAAGGCAGCCAACGUUUUCCUAAAAAGAAGGCGGCGGGAGGAGGGGGAGGAGGAGGAGGGGGGGGGGGGAUUCCUUUCCUUUCCUUUCCUUUCCUUUAGAAAAGAGCUGAGCGCACGGCGGCGGGGAGGCACGCGGCGCACGGGAAGGAGGAGGAUGGGGAGCCCGUGCCCGGAGCCCGCGGCACUUCCCGGGCCGCCCUAUCCAAGCGGCGGGCGCUGUCGCGGGGAGGGGUCCUCGGGUGCCCUCCCCAACUUCCCCCCAGGGCCUAUUUCAGCCGCGGGGAAACCGACGCAAAGCGGCCGCGGUGCCGCAGCCGCAGAGGAACGAUGACCCGCAAAGCUUCGACAUGGGGGUGCUGCCGUCGAGCUGCUGUCCCGAGGUGCGUUUCACAGAGGGAGCUGCAGCACCGCACAUGUGGGCUUCGCGGGUCAGAGGUCGGACGGCCCCGGAGUGCGGAGCUCGGCCCCAUCAAAGCCGACCGCAGCUCCGUAUCUCUCCGUGAGAGCGGCGGGCGGAUGGCGGCUGCGGCGCGGACGGCGCUGCAGUGCUUCUCCCGGCCCGGCUCUCCCCUCUCCGGCCCGGCCCGGCUGCGGCUGUCCGGCCCCGCCGCAGCCCCGUGGGCAGAGGUAGGGGUGCGAGGGGGCACGGCGGGGGUACGCGAGGCACUGAACGGUGCCCCCGCCCCAGCUGUCUCCACGUUAGCAGCCGGCAACGGGAGGGGCUGUUUUAAAGGGAAAUUCGGAACGCUUACAGAAGGAGGGUGCUCCCGGCAGGGAUCUGCGGGUCGGGAGCGGCCAGAAACCUGCUGGGAAAAAAUAAUAAUAAUAAAAAUUCAAAUUCAAAUCAGACCUGAAGUUCUGUCCGCGGAGGAGAGCUCCGGCCCGGCUCCGGAAUCACAUUCUACCCGGAGAGGGGCUCUCCGGCGCCCGGGGAAAAGGGGCCGCGGUGCGGGGAGGGGUAAAGAGACUCUCGGGGGACGGCCGUGCGACUUUGAACUUGGAACGGCCCCGCUGCGUCCUGGGGGUGCGGCACCGGGAGGGGAACGGAGCGCGGCCGGGCUGCGAUAGUCCCUGUGUGCCCCGGAGGAGAGAGAGGGGACGGGGCAGGAGGGAAGGGAGGGAUGGGAGAAGGGAGAGGGGUAAAAAGGGAAACAGGGAGGGAACGGGAACAGGAAGAGAGGAAGGAAGGAAAGGAAGGAAAGGAAGGAAAGGAAGGAAAGGAAGGAAAGGAAGGAAAGGAAGGAAAGGAAGGGAGAGGUAAAGUAAAGGGAAGAGAGAAAAAAAAUAAAGGAAAGAAAGAAAUAAAAGAAAGGGGGAGAAAAAAAAGAAAGAAAAGAAGGAAGGAAAGAAUAAAGAGAAGGAAGAAAGGAGAACGAGGGGUAAAUCCAGAAGGUAGACAGAUAUUUGUAUGGACAUUCUUUUUUUUCUUUUUUUUUUCCUUCUCCAAACCAAUAUUUCAUUGGGGUUUUUCUCUGAGCCUUUCGGGGUUCCUCUCCGAUCCGAGAUGCAACCGCACUUUCUGCAUUACUCUCUCGGUGAAGUCCCGGCUCCUGCAGAGCGUUGUCCACACGCAGCGCGGAGGCACAGCCCCGGCCUCUCCCUCACCUCCGGGGCACCUCCAGGCCCUCCUCCUCCUCCAAAACGUUCCGGGGAAAGGAAACGGUUUGUCCGCCCUCCGUGCCCGCAGCCCGGGCUGUGCGGGGGCCGGCAGUCAGCGGGCAUGGAUGGAGCGGGGCUGAGGGCUGAGGGCUGCGGGGCGGGGCGGGGGGAGGAUGAAACCUCGGCCCAGGCAGAGAGCAACAGCGCGACACUGCAUUUCGGACAGGGCUUGGAACGUUUUAACUGUUUGGUGGCAGCAGUGGGGGAACCUUCUCUAACAACCCUACACUGCAGACAGUGCUACCUUUUCCUUCUUUCCUUCCUUCCUUCUUUCUCUCCUUCCUUCCUUCCUUCCUUCCUUCCUUCCUUCCUUUUCUUUCUCUCUUUCCUUCCUUCCUUUUCUUUCUCUUUCCUUCCUUCCUUUUCUUUCUCUUUCCUUCCUUCCUUUUCUUUCUCUUUCCUUCUUUCCUUUUCUUUCUCUUUCCUUCUUUCCUUUUCUUUCUCUCUUUCUUUCCUUCCUUCCUUUUCUCUCUUUCCUUCCUUCCUUUUCUCUCUUUCCUUCCUUCCUUCUGUCUUUCUCUCUUUCCUUCCUUCCUUCCCUCCAUCCUUUCCAUCCAUCUAUCCAUCCUUCCUUCCUUCCCCGCAUCCUUUCCAUCCAUCUACCUAUCCAUCCAUGUAUCCAUCCAUCCAUCCAUCCAUCCAUCCACCCAUCCAUCCAUCCACUCUCUGGGUGCAGAGCAGCCGAGAGCCGGCGGGAUAUGGCCCCACUGUACCACCGCAACACCAUAUCGCUUUUUAACGCUGGAGAAGCCCCGUUCGGUGCUACCCGUGCCCCCAGCACAGCUCGUGCCCAGCCGUGUUUUUAUGGUGGGGGAGGGGGGCAGCUGACCUGCUCGCUUUUCUAUUCCCGCCGUGAGAGGAUCCGGUUUGCCAAUAACAAUGGCGGGGCGGGGGGGGAAGGGGCGGGGGGGGGGGGGGGGAGGCCGGUUUGGGUUGGUUUUGUUUGUUUGGGUUUUUUGGGUUUCUCUUUAAAGAACGGAACGAGAGCGGAGGGCUCCCGGAACACCGCCCCGGGACGCAGCACAGCGGAGCAGCCCCGCCCCGUGCGGGGUCCGACGGCCGCCCCGGCCCUCUCCGGCGUUCCCUUCUGUGUCCAUUCCCAUCUCGGUGCAGGACUUCAGCUCGGCAUCCCCCCACCCCCCCGCCCGCCCCCCCCAACCCGGCCCCGCUCCCUGCGUCUCUCGUGAGCUUCGUGUGCCUGAGCCGAGAGGGGGAAGGGGCUGCGGGGUGUGGGGGUGUGGGGGGGGCGCCCCUCCCUCCGUCACCACCUGAAAAGAUAGAAAUUAAUACAAAUGAAAAAAUCAUUCAAAAACAAAUUCUCUCCCCUCCCCCCCCCCCCUCCCCCCACACCUCUCCCCCGCGUCGAUGCUCGAAGCCCCUCGCUUUGUUUGUUUGCUCCCCAGGCACAGCGGCAUCGCCCGUGCCGUGCGGCUCUCCCCGCAACGCCGCCCCUUCCCUUCACCGCCCUAAAAUCCGAGGGGGCGGCCGGGGAAGGGGGGG